ACCUGGCUGGCUCAGUCAGUAGAGCAUGUGACUCUCAUUCUCAGGGCUGUAGGUUCAAACCCCACAUUGGGUG
Molecule: transfer RNA, 73 nt
Filed under: Canis lupus familiaris (dog)
Lineage: Eukaryota; Metazoa; Chordata; Mammalia; Carnivora; Canidae
Also listed under: 1 other name
Rfam family: tRNA
About the family: Transfer RNA (tRNA) molecules are approximately 80 nucleotides in length.
Source: Rfam by way of RNAcentral